CCAGGAGCUUGCUCUUGGGGAUCAGUGGCGAACGGGUGAGUAACACGUGAGCAACCUGCCCCUGACUCUGGGAUAAGCGCUGGAAACGGCGUCUAAUACUGGAUACGAACCACGAAGGCAUCUUCAGUGGUUGGAAAGAUUUAUUGGUUGGGGAUGGGCUCGCGGCCUAUCAGCUUGUUGGUGAGGUAAUGGCUCACCAAGGCGUCGACGGGUAGCCGGCCUGAGAGGGUGACCGGCCACACUGGGACUGAGACACGGCCCAGACUCCUACGGGAGGCAGCAGUGGGGAAUAUUGCACAAUGGGCGCAAGCCUGAUGCAGCAACGCCGCGUGAGGGAUGACGGCCUUCGGGUUGUAAACCUCUUUUAGCAGGGAAGAAGCGAGAGUGACGGUACCUGCAGAAAAAGCACCGGCUAACUACGUGCCAGCAGCCGCGGUAAUACGUAGGGUGCAAGCGUUAUCCGGAAUUAUUGGGCGUAAAGAGCUCGUAGGCGGUUUGUCGCGUCUGCUGUGAAAUCUGGGGGCUCAACCCCCAGCCUGCAGUGGGUACGGGCAGACUAGAGUGCGGUAGGGGAGAUUGGAAUUCCUGGUGUAGCGGUGGAAUGCGCAGAUAUCACGAGGAACACCGAUGGCGAAAGGCAGAUCUCUGGGCCGUAACUGACGCUGAGGAGCGAAAGGGUGGGGAGCAAACAGGCUUAGAUACCCUGGUAGUCCACCCCGUAAACGUUGGGAACUAGUUGU
RNAcentral lists this ribosomal RNA (740 nucleotides) under Microbacterium murale. Its description in RNAcentral is "bacterial SSU rRNA". It matches the Rfam family "Bacterial small subunit ribosomal RNA", at positions 72 to 823 of the family's 1533-position model. The record is from RNAcentral. Lineage: Bacteria; Bacillati; Actinomycetota; Actinomycetes; Micrococcales; Microbacteriaceae.